RNAcentral lists this ribosomal RNA (229 nucleotides) under uncultured bacterium. RNAcentral describes it as "partial 16S ribosomal RNA". It matches the Rfam family "Bacterial small subunit ribosomal RNA", at positions 568 to 796 of the family's 1533-position model. The record is from RNAcentral.
UCCGUAGGCGGAUUAAUAAGUCAGUGGUGAAAACCUGCAGCUUAACUGUAGAACUGCCAUUGAUACUGUUAGUCUUGAGUACGGUCAAGGUAGGCGGAAUGUGUAAUGUAGCGGUGAAAUGCUUAGAUAUUACACAGAACACCGAUUGCGAAGGCAGCUUACUGGACCAUUACUGACGCUGAGGCACGAAAGCGUGGGGAGCGAACAGGAUUAGAUACCCUGGUAGUCC